UACGUAGGGUGCGAGCGUUGUCCGGAAUUACUGGGCGUAAAGAGCUCGUAGGUGGUUUGUCGCGUUGUUCGUGAAAUCUCACGGCUUAACUGUGAGCGUGCGGGCGAUACGGGCAGACUAGAGUACUGCAGGGGAGACUGGAAUUCCUGGUGUAGCGGUGGAAUGCGCAGAUAUCAGGAGGAACACCGGUGGCGAAGGCGGGUCUCUGGGCAGUAACUGACGCUGAGGAGCGAAAGCGUGGGGAGCGAACAGGAUUAGAUACCCUGGUAGUCCACGCCGUAAACGGUGGGUACUAGGUGUGGGUUUCCUUCCCUUGGGAUCCGUGCCGUAGCUAACGCAUUAAGUACCCCGCCUGGGGAGUACGGCCGCAAGGCUAAAACUCAAAGAAUUGACGG
Molecule: ribosomal RNA, 395 nt
Filed under: uncultured Mycobacterium sp.
Lineage: Bacteria; Bacillati; Actinomycetota; Actinomycetes; Mycobacteriales; Mycobacteriaceae
Description: bacterial SSU rRNA
Rfam family: Bacterial small subunit ribosomal RNA
Source: RNAcentral